GAUGAACGCUGGCGGCGUGCUUAACACAUGCAAGUCGAACGGAAAGGCUCUGCUUUUGUGGGGUGCUUGAGUGGCGAACGGCUGAGUAACACGUGAGUAACCUGCCCUUGACUUUGGGAUAACUUCAGGAAACUGGGGCUAAUACCGGAUAGGAGCUCCUGCUGCAUGGUGGGGGUUGGAAAGUUUCGGCGGUUGGGGAUGGACUCGCGGCUUAUCAGCUUGUUGGUGGGGUAGUGGCUUACCAAGGCGUUGACGGGUAGCCGGCCUGAGAGGGUGACCGGCCACAUUGGGACUGAGAUACGGCCCAGACUCCUACGGGAGGCAGCAGUGGGGAAUAUUGCACAAUGGGCGGAAGCCUGAUGCAGCAACGCCGCGUGCGGGAUGACGGCCUUCGGGUUGUAAACCGCUUUCGCCUGUGACGAAGCGUGAGUGACGGUAAUGGGUAAAGAAGCACCGGCUAACUACGUG
RNAcentral lists this ribosomal RNA (468 nucleotides) under uncultured bacterium. Its description in RNAcentral is "partial 16S ribosomal RNA". It matches the Rfam family "Bacterial small subunit ribosomal RNA", at positions 28 to 507 of the family's 1533-position model. The record is from RNAcentral.